CGGGGGGCACACGGGGCGGCGCCUACCAUGCAGUCGAACGAAGGCUUCGGCCUUAGUGGCGCACGGGUGCGUAACGCGUGGGAAUCUGCCCUCAGGUUCGGAAUAACAGCGAGAAAUUGCUGCUAAUACCGGAUGAUAUCGCGAGAUCAAAGAUUUAUCGCCUGAGGAUGAGCCCGCGUAGGAUUAGCUAGUUGGUGUGGUAAAGGCGCACCAAGGCGACGAUCCUUAGCUGGUCUGAGAGGAUGAUCAGCCACACUGGGACUGAGACACGGCCCAGACUCCUACGGGAGGCAGCAGUGGGGAAUAUUGGACAAUGGGCGAAAGCCUGAUCCAGCAAUGCCGCGUGAGUGAUGAAGGCCUUAGGGUUGUAAAGCUCUUUUACCCGGGAUGAUAAUGACAGUACCGGGAGAAUAAGCUCCGGCUAACUCCGUGCCAGCAGCCGCGGUAAUACGGAGGGAGCUAGCGUUAUUCGGAAUUACUGGGCGUAAAGCGCACGUAGGCGGCUUUGUAAGUUAGAGGUGAAAGCCUGGAGCUCAGCUCCAGAAUUGCCUUUAAGACUGCAUCGCUUGAAUCCAGGGAGAGGUGAGUGGGAAUUCC
Molecule: ribosomal RNA, 597 nt
Filed under: bacterium H8(2014)
Lineage: Bacteria
Description: bacterial SSU rRNA
Rfam family: Bacterial small subunit ribosomal RNA
Source: RNAcentral